Molecule: transfer RNA, 75 nt
Filed under: Spiroplasma sp.
Lineage: Bacteria; Bacillati; Mycoplasmatota; Mollicutes; Entomoplasmatales; Spiroplasmataceae
Also listed under: 5 other names
Description: tRNA-Glu
Rfam family: tRNA
About the family: Transfer RNA (tRNA) molecules are approximately 80 nucleotides in length. Their secondary structure includes four short double-helical elements and three loops (D, anti-codon, and T loops). Further hydrogen bonds mediate the characteristic L-shaped molecular structure. tRNAs have two regions of fundamental functional importance: the anti-codon, which is responsible for specific mRNA codon recognition, and the 3' end, to which the tRNAs corresponding amino acid is attached (by aminoacyl-tRNA synthetases). tRNAs cope with the degeneracy of the genetic code in two manners: having more than one tRNA (with a specific anti-codon) for a particular amino acid; and 'wobble' base-pairing, i.e. permitting non-standard base-pairing at the 3rd anti-codon position.
Source: RNAcentral
GGCUCGUUGGUGAAUUGGUAAACACAUAGGAUUUUCAUUCCUACAUUACGGGUUCGAUCCCCGUACGAGUCACCA